Molecule: non-coding RNA, 469 nt
Organism: Pelobates cultripes (western spadefoot toad)
Lineage: Eukaryota; Metazoa; Chordata; Amphibia; Anura; Pelobatidae
Source: the annotation of a GenBank genome assembly
CUUUAGCAUUGAUCCUAGGCAACCAUUACUCACUGGUCCACAAAAGAGUAGUGGCAGAAUUCAACAAUACUUCUAAAUAGAAGUUAGCAAAAAUAACAUUCGAGAGCAGAGCCCUAUAGCACUGUAAACACAAUACCCAUUUCCUCUACGGAUUCAGAUUCACCUUGAAAACUCAAGGUUGCAGCUCUAGUGGAAAGCAGAGAUUGAAAUGUACCCUAUGCUUUCCCUUUAAUUUAGAGGUGCACAACCUGUGCCCCACAGCCCUCAAUGUACAAACAUGGCUCUGAAUCUGUGUGCUUUGAUCAGGGGACUGAGCAAGAUUUUGGUGCCCCAUCAAUAGGCUGGUGUUUUAAAAUUUACCUCCCCUGGUCUCCGUCACAUUUAACCUCUUGGUAUGCUGUGUGAAGACUGAGAAGCAGGGACUAGAGAUGACCUCACAUAACCUGCUCUAUCCUCACACAGAGCCUUG